GCCAAGAGGCAGACCACAGGCCCUCUUGAGGAGGCUUCUAUGUUCAAGUGCAGAAAGGGCCUAAUCUGGUGGAUGAACCACUAGACCAGCUUCUAGUGCCACAUCUUUUGUCACUUCCUGAUGUGCCCCACCAGCACUGAAGAGACAGCCUGGAGGCAGGGCAAGAGGAAGGCUGAGAAGGAUGAGACGGUGAGUGCCAGAUUCUCCCUGGCCCUGAGCCCACCCCCAGGGUGACACUCAAACUUUAGGAGUGGGAGAGCAAGGUUGACGGCUUCAAGUGCUUCACUAAGAAGAUGGACAACAGGGCACUCACCUCAACUUCACAGCCAAUGAGUUGACAUGCAAGCAGGUGAUGGUGACAGGCUUUAAGAAAGAGCAUCAGAAAGCUGCCAGUUCUUCAGCCUCAGCCAGGCCUUGGAGCUGGACCAGGCCAUCCACUUCACCACAGAUGCCUUCAACACUGUCAGUGAGCUCUUUGCCAAUCAGCCCAGGCAGGACCUGGACCCAGUCAUGGACCUGUUAGUGCUGUCUCAGGGACACCAGACCAACAUCCUGAACAUCAUCCACAUACACA
This 574-nucleotide long non-coding RNA is filed under the name Homo sapiens (human). RNAcentral's name for it is "non-protein coding lnc-ANKRD20A8P-13:1". The record is from RNAcentral. Lineage: Eukaryota; Metazoa; Chordata; Mammalia; Primates; Hominidae.